Molecule: long non-coding RNA, 483 nt
Organism: Salvia miltiorrhiza (redroot sage)
Lineage: Eukaryota; Viridiplantae; Streptophyta; Magnoliopsida; Lamiales; Lamiaceae
Exons: 3
Source: RefSeq, a predicted model, not a curated record
UAAUUUUUAAUUAUCUCACACACACUAAACACACACACAACUCACGCAUAUCUCCAUUGUUGAGGAGUUGGAGCUUUUGAGCUCCGUUUUGAGCGAGAAGACGAGCCCCGAUCAUCUUUUCGAACACGUAUCUAAGUAGGUCCUUUUGGGAAGUAACGACUUGAGGGAGAGAGUGACGUUACUCAUUGAUACAGAGACACAACGAGGUUGAGCUGAUGUGAUGAUGGUGCUGCAAUGAGCGGAGUCUCCAGGGUUGUUAAUAAAUAGUUAACCUGUCUAGAAUAUGUCUUCAUACAUAUGUCUAGCUACUUUCCGCUGCAAGAUGUUGUUGAUAUUAUAGUAUGUUAUGUCAUACUUUGAGUCUUAAGAGAAUGGUUGCAUAUGAUGUAUAACUUGAUUAAUGAUAUUAAUUAACUUUUAUGCAGUCUUUCAUAGACUGUUUUCAAUUGAGUAUUAAUGAAUAAAAAUGACGAGUUUUAUUAA